RNAcentral lists this long non-coding RNA (255 nucleotides) under Brassica napus (rape). Its description in RNAcentral is "long non-coding RNA (BNAP_LNC011536)". The record is from RNAcentral. Lineage: Eukaryota; Viridiplantae; Streptophyta; Magnoliopsida; Brassicales; Brassicaceae.
GAGAAUAAGGCGAUCCCACUUUUCCUAAUUGGGAAUAUGGCAACUUCUUCGUCAUUCUAAUCAAACUAGGAUAAAUCACGAUUUGAAAUGCUGUCAUUGGAUACAUAAAAUAGUGGAGAAUCACCAGGAAGUUGAAUAAAUAUCAUAGGAGUUAGGAGAAAGAAGUUAUCCCACUUUCAAAUCAGGUGAUCCCAGUUUUCCUGUUUAGAAUAUGACAACUUCUUUGUCAUUCUAAUCAAACCAGGAUGAAUCGCG